RNAcentral lists this ribosomal RNA (426 nucleotides) under uncultured bacterium. RNAcentral's name for it is "bacterial SSU rRNA". It matches the Rfam family "Bacterial small subunit ribosomal RNA", at positions 355 to 774 of the family's 1533-position model. The record is from RNAcentral.
UGGGGAAUUUUGGACAAUGGGCGAAAGCCUGAUCCAGCCAUGCCGCGUGAGUGAAGAAGGCCUUCGGGUUGUAAAGCUCUUUUAGUCGGAAAGAAAGAGUUGCAAUGAAUAAUUGUGAUUUAUGACGGUACCGACAGAAAAAGCACCGGCUAACUACGUGCCAGCAGCCGCGGUAAUACGUAGGGUGCGAGCGUUAAUCGGAAUUACUGGGCGUAAAGGGUGCGCAGGCGUCUUGCAAGUCAGAUGUGAAAGCCCCGGGCUUAACCUGGGAAUUGCGUUUGAAACUACAAGACUAGAGUGCAGCAGAGGGGAGUGGAAUUCCAUGUGUAGCAGUGAAAUGCGUAGAGAUGUGGAAGAACACCGAUGGCGAAGGCAGCUCCCUGGGUUGACACUGACGCUCAUGCACGAAAGCGUGGGGAGCAAACA